UCUCUCCUAAAAAAAACCUCUGUGUUUCUCUAGCUCUCCUAAAACCCCUCUACAUUUCGCUCUCCUUGAAAUCGUCGCCAGUAGGCGGUGGAGAAAGGUGGCUCCCUCUCGAUCCUCAAAUUUCCAAGGUCAUGGCGAACAGUGGUGGCGAACCCGAACUCGCCGCCUGCGAGCAAGGCUCGAUCUCUUUCUCUCCCCUCUUGAUACUCUCCGCCUUCCUCGCCUCAAGCCGCUUGCGAUGACGACGAAAAGAUCUAGAAUGAAUCGGCAACGAGAUCUCAUAGGAGAUGGCUGUGAGGCACUACUUUCGCCGUCGAUGAUGUAGCAAAAAGGCAGGAUUAUGGUGGCGCCGAGUAUGGUGGUGCCGAGUAUGGUGGUUGUGUGCGGUGCUGUUGGUGCAGAAACAUUGCAACACCUCUGGUUCAAGGAGAUUGUCCAGUGAGGCGUUCCUCGCUUAUUGGACCGAGGAGGACGAGGCGCUAAUUGCUGGCUGUUGAAACUAUUUGAUCUUCUGGAGGAUAUGGCAGAUAAUUACGUUCUCAUCUUCACUGGCAGCUGUUUUCUGGCCUGGGUAUGGAGCAUACACAGCAUCCAGGCUAGCAGUUGAGGCAAUGACCAAGAUUUUGGCCAAGGAACUCAAGGGGACUGGCAUUACAGCUCACUGUGUUGCACCAGGUCCCAUUGCAACUGAGUUGUUCUUUGCUGGUGCCACAGAAGAGCAUAUCCAAGGAGCAAUCAGUGUUUCACCAAUGAUGUUGCACCUCUGGUAGGAUUCUUGGCCAGAGACAGUGGUGAGUGGAUUAAUGGGCAGAUCAUUCGAGCCAAUGUUGGAUUUGUUUUUUCUCGAUUAUUGUUUUAAUUAUAUAUUUGUUGUAAUUAGUUAAGAAAACAAUCGUUUUAGUUAUUCAUUGUUUUAGGUUAGUAGUAUUUCAUUUUAGUUAUUCAUUGUUUUAGUUAAGGUUUUUAGUUAUGAAUUGUAUUGUUUUAGUUAUAUUUUAGUUAUAUUUAGUUAAAAAUUAAAUGGUUUAGUUAUAUUUUUCUCGAUUAUUCUUUUAGUUAUAUAUUUAUUGUAUUUAGUUAAGAAAUAAAUCAUUUUAGUUUAGAA
Spinacia oleracea (spinach) is the source of this 1105-nucleotide long non-coding RNA. RefSeq lists it as uncharacterized. NCBI's taxonomy places the organism in Eukaryota, Viridiplantae, Streptophyta, Magnoliopsida, Caryophyllales, Amaranthaceae. The transcript has 3 exons. The record is from RefSeq and is a predicted model, not a curated record.